RNAcentral lists this ribosomal RNA (1488 nucleotides) under Triticum aestivum (bread wheat). RNAcentral's name for it is "partial small subunit ribosomal RNA". The record is from RNAcentral. Lineage: Eukaryota; Viridiplantae; Streptophyta; Magnoliopsida; Poales; Poaceae.
AUGGCGGGAUCGCGGCGAGGGGGCGACGAGGAGGCGUGCCGCGUCGGGCUCCUGGACGGGCACGGCGGCGCCAAGAAGGAUGACUGGCAGGUGGUCGCCGGCGGCGAGGAAUCCAGCAAGCUCGGGAGGCGGGUGUUGGAGGAGUCGAAGAAGCUGUGGGUGAUCGUGGCGCCGGCCAUGUUCAGCCGCAUCGUCACCUUCAGCAUGAACGUCAUCACGCAGGCCUUCGCCGGCCACCUGGGCGACCUCGAGCUCGCCGCCAUCUCCAUCGCCAACACCGUCGUCGUGGGCUUCAGCUUCGGCCUCAUGCUUGGCAUGGCGAGCGCGCUGGAGACGCUGUGCGGGCAGGCGUUCGGCGCCAAGAAGUUUCACAUGAUGGGCGUCUACAUGCAGCGCUCCUGGAUCGUGCUGCUGGGCUGCGCGGUGCUGCUCCUCCCCAUGUACUUCUUCGCCGAGGACGUGCUGCUGCUCACGGGGCAGUCGCCGGAGCUUUCGGCGAUGGCCGGCAGGGUCUCCGUCUGGUUCAUCCCGCUGCACUUCUCCUUCGCCCUCCUCUUCCCGCUGCAGCGCUUCCUGCAGUGCCAGAUGAAGAACUUCGUCAGCGCCGCCGCCUCCGGGGUGGCGCUCUGCGUCCACCUCCUCGUCAGCUGGCUCUUCAUCACCCGGUUCCAGUUCGGACUCGUCGGGAUCGCGCUCACCCUCAACUUCUCCUGGUGGGCCACCUUCGCCAUGCUCUUCGGCUACGUCGCCUGCGGCGGCUGCCCGGACACGUGGCACGGCUUCUCCGUCGAGGCGUUCGCCGACAUUUGGGAGUUCGUCAAGCUCUCCGCCGCGUCGGGCGUCAUGCUAUGCCUGGAGAACUGGUACUACAGGGUACUCAUCUUGCUGACAGGGAACCUCAAGGACGCGGCUAUUGCGGUGGAUGCGCUCUCCAUCUGCAUGACUAUUAACGCAUGGGAGAUGAUGAUUCCUUUGGCGUUCUUCGCGGGCACUGGAGUUCGGGUGGCGAACGAGCUGGGCGCCGGGAACGGGAAGGGGGCGAGGUUCGCGACGAUCGUGUCGUCCUUGACGUCGCUGGUGAUCGGGCUCUUCUUCUGGGUGCUCAUCAUGGGGCUCCACGACAAGCUGGCGCUCAUCUUCACCUCCAGCGCCGUGGUGCUGGACGCCGUCAACAACCUCGCCAUCCUGCUGGCCUUCACCAUCCUGCUCAACAGCAUCCAGCCCGUGCUCUCAGGUGUGGCUGUUGGGUCUGGCUGGCAAUCCGCGGUGGCCUACAUCAACAUCGGCAGCUACUACCUCAUCGGCGUCCCCAUGGGCGUCCUCCUUGGCUGGCUCUUCAACCUUGGCGUCCUGGGGAUCUGGGCGGGGAUGAUCGGCGGAACGGCCGUCCAGACGCUGAUCCUGGCCAUCAUGACCAUUCGCUGCGACUGGGAAAAGGAGGCCAUGGUCGCGAGCACACGGAUGGACAAGUGGUCCGAGGUCCGGUGA